Long non-coding RNA from Cataglyphis hispanica, 514 nucleotides. RefSeq lists it as uncharacterized. The transcript is spliced from 2 exons. The record is from RefSeq and is a predicted model, not a curated record. NCBI's taxonomy places the organism in Eukaryota, Metazoa, Arthropoda, Insecta, Hymenoptera, Formicidae.
UUCUGCAUCCAAGAAGUGAGAGAGUGGGCAAGAGAUGCGCAUUUGCGAGAAUUGUUCGGAUUUAUAAUCAGAAAUUUAUUCUAUCCGUUGAUUAUAUUUUAUUAUUCGCUCUCGUCCCUUCUCUCUCCUUCCUCUUCUUUUUCGCGAAGAUGACGAUAAGAAAUGUAUCUCCCGGAAAAUGGGAUAGAAAAGAAAAGAGGUCGUGGAUUUUUUGAAAAUCUGAAAAUAUCUAUCACAAGGUAUCGAAAAUUUACGGGAUAUUUUGCUUAGAGAGGACAAGAAAUCGUUUUAGGAUUAUAAUAUCUUAGGUAUGCCGUCUGUUUUUACAUUAAGCAUUCACAGACGAAAAAUUUCAAUCGGCACGGCCUCUUUCGUCAUUUUAUUAAUUAAAUACUCGUCUAUAAUCUUAAUAGAGUGUUUCAGUCUAUGAAAAAAUUAAAUACAUAAUUCAAAAAAAAAAAAAAAGAAAAAAAAAAAAAAAAAAAAAAAAAAAAAAAAAAAAAAAACCGACGAA